ACAUCCAGAGAACUUAGCAGAGAUGCUUUGGUGCCUUCGGGAACUCUGAGACAGGUGCUGCAUGGCUGUCGUCAGCUCGUGUUGUGAAAUGUUGGGUUAAGUCCCGNAACGAGCGCAACCCUUAUCCUUUGUUGCCAGCGGUUCGGCCGGGAACUCAAAGGAGACUGCCGGUGAUAAACCGGAGGAAGGUGGGGAUGACGUCAAGUCAUCAUGGCCCUUACGGCCAGGGCUACACACGUGCUACAAUGGCGCAUACAAAGAGAAGUGACCUCGCGAGAGCAAGCGGACCUCAUAAAGUGCGUCGUAGUCCGGAUUGGAGUCUGCAACUCGACUCCAUGAAGUCGGAAUCGCUAGUAAUCGUAGAUCAGAAUGCUACGGUGAAUACGUUCCCGGGCCUUGUACACACCGCCCGUCACACCAUGGGAGUGGGUUGCAAAAGAAGUAGGUAGCUUAACCUUCGGGAGGGCGCUUACCACUUUGUGAUUCAUGACUGGGGUGAAGUCGUAACAAGGUAGGCGUAGCGAG
Molecule: ribosomal RNA, 525 nt
Filed under: uncultured bacterium
Lineage: Bacteria
Description: bacterial SSU rRNA
Rfam family: Bacterial small subunit ribosomal RNA
Source: RNAcentral